CAAGUGACUUAUUUCCGUCACUGUCAUUGGCGACUUCCCCAAUUAUUCGAAAGAUCAAAGGGGAAUGAAUAUUUGUGGGUGGGCCCCACUAUUAUCACCAUUCCAUUGUUGCACACGUAAGAAUUGAGGACAAGCACAUACUUUACACACAUUUCAAUGUGACAUUUGUCUGAUACACAUAGCAGAUUAAAGCAAAGAUCAAGGCAAAAAACGUGAACCAAGUAUUUGUAGUAAUUUGUAAAUGAUAAGUUAAUAAAAUCAAACGGUUGCGACAAACGUCGACACUGAUUUUAGUCACGAUUGUUCCAUUACAUACAUUUGUGAGUUUGUGGCAAUUAGUUGGACGGAAAUGCCGCGAGAAAAAUGCUGUUUUGAUGGACUUUGAUGGCAAGGACAAUUGGGAGAAAUCAGUGCAACGUUCUCGCAUCCUGAAGACAUUCCAAGGCGAAGCGCGAUUAGGAAAGACAUGACAGACGUUCGGAGAUGUCAUUGUUAUUCACUUGUGUGAAGUGUAUCGGGAAAUUGGCCAAUUGGCAAUUACAGGUCUCGCCUAAACACAAACGCACUUAAUUAAGUCGGCUUAUUUUCGCUGAGUGAAACCUCAUUACCAACAAAUGUUUUAAAUGGUUUUUACCUUCGUUAGGAUGGAUCUGAGCCUUCACACCUUUGGCACAAGAAAAGAGAUUUCAUGAUAAAUUGCAACAGUUUCAUAAGCAGAUCAAGGUCGUGUUGUUGCGUCUUAUGAUCCGGGCAUGCAAACACGGGAGAAAUGAAACGGACUUUUUACACUCCAUAUUUGCAGCAAUGAAAGUCUCAUCACGACCGCUUAAAGAAAUUUACCACCCAAGGAUGCUCUGUUGUAAUUGGAGCAAUAAAUAAUGCCACUAAAAAUCACUAAUUA
Tribolium castaneum (red flour beetle) is the source of this 901-nucleotide long non-coding RNA. RefSeq lists it as uncharacterized. Lineage: Eukaryota; Metazoa; Arthropoda; Insecta; Coleoptera; Tenebrionidae. The record is from RefSeq and is a predicted model, not a curated record. The transcript has 2 exons.